CAGCCCUCCUCCCACACAGCUCCCAGGCUGAAGGUGCCUUGUGACCCAGGCCUGUGCUCCCCAUGCAUUCAGUGGCCGGUUCAGGGACCUGUGUGCCCAAACCCAGCUAAUCCCAGCCAGGAAACCUCAGUUCUGGGACUUCUGGUCAAGCUUUUGGGGCAGUGGACUCCCUUUUCUCCCAGGACGUGGGUCUGAAAGUUUAUAGCACUGAGGGGGACACCCAGUCUGAGAAGGUGGCGGAUGCAGCACAAGGUAUUGCUGAGCAAUAGAGAGAAACAGCGUUCUCAUGACAGCGUUUGAGUUCUGGAUCAAGCCGUACUUGAACCUUCCUGGAUUUAUCAGUCACUUGAAUCGAUAAGUCCCCCUUUUGUCUUAAUCUAGCCUGAGUCAGGCUUUCUGUCACUCACAGUCAAAAAAGGCCUGACUGAUAAACCCAUUCUCUGGCAUCAAGGCCUCUGUGAACCCAAUUAAUAAAGUGGUGGCUGCCUGGAUUAGCACAAAUUCAGAGCAAAAGGAAGGAGAAAAUGUUUCCAGACAUUCUACUCAGGCUUUGGGGCAUCCCUAGCCUACUUGAGGUAUUGCAGGAAAAAAAAAUCCUUCAGAAUUGGAAGACUUGAGUUUAAAACUCAGCCCUCUCACUUACUCACUAGCUGUGUGACCUUGGACAAGUCACUAAACCUCUCUGAGACUCUAUUUCUUCAAACCUCUGAAGGCUAUAAUGACAGUAAAAUGAAAUAAUGUGCAUAAAGCGCUAAGUACACAGUAGGUCCUCAAUAAAUGCACCCAUACAAUGUGGCUCAGCGCAUCUACAUCUACUUAAUUACAGGCACAUGAAGAAGACAUAUGGGGACAGAGAGGAAGGCCAGCCUGUUUCCCCAGAAUUCACUCAUUGUGGGUGCUCCCUCGACGUGUAGCUUCUGUUGGUCUUAGCAGGAAGCAGGAGGGUACGGCAGAAAGGAGCAAGGGCUUUGGGGUCAGAGAAACCUGGGUUUAAGUUCUGUCUCUGCUCUGUGACCUUAGGCAAGUUGCCUAACCUCUCGGAGCCUUGUUCCCUCGUUAGUAAAAUGGGGAAGGCAAUGGUACCUCGUAAGGAGAUAUGGGACGAAAGCACGAUGCAGCAGACACUGGACUUAGCAAGCACGCUUAUGCUCCCAGGCCUAGCCAGGCUCUUCCUCAAAGGUUGGUCCUUAAGACCCUGCCACGUUCCUGCCUCCCUGAGCUCAGCCACGCCUGUGACUUCAACUCCUCGGCCUCCCUGAUGACCGCAAAGAUCCGUGUCCAGGCCCGACCUCUCUCCAGAGUCCAGACCUCCUGGGCGCCUCCACCAGGAUGUCCUCCAGGCACUCCGAACCCAGCGCCAGGUCCUGGAUCGUCCACUGCUCCCUGUGUGAUUUGGGUCUGUCGCCUUGGUUUCUUCGCCUAUAACAUGAGCAGCUGGUAGUGGCCCUAACAUCCUAGGAUUCUCACCUCCAACAUGUCAUCUCCCCAGACUCAUCACCCCCAAAAGCAGCAGCACCGUUCUCCAGCGAAGCCCAGCCUGGAAACUCCGAGUCAGCGUGGGUUCGUCCACCUUGGUCAUCACAGCCCCCACGUCUGGGAGGGUCUGCCUCGAUAUGCUGCCCUAUCUCUACACCCCUCCUGUGGCCCCACCGUCGUCCUAGGCCAGACCCUCAGCACUACACCUCCGGGCCCCGCACCGGCUUCCCCACUCCGUCCACCCUCUGCUCCUCCCACCCAUGAACCGAUGGUCAGUGAAGGCCUGGGCAGCUUCCCUCUCAAACAGUCUUAGCGUGGAGGCUGGGCCUUCUCAUGUCACCAUCAAGACCUGGACUUCGCUGUUGACAGUGUCAGUGCCCUGGAGAUUCUUUCUAAGGUUGGGGAUGAGGAGAGAAACCUCUCGCGGGGUCCAUACUAGACGCUCAAUAAAUAUUUGUUAAAUUCAUUCAUUCAUUCAUUCAUGCUUUUCGAAACACACCCUCUGGAUGGUCAUCUCCAAUCCAAGACAGACAACGCCAGAGGUUGCUUUGCAAAUCUCGUGAAAACUAUGGGCCUUUGUUUACCUAUGUGAAUUUUGCGUAUCAUUUCAGCGGGUUCAUAGCCCCCCAAGCCCAUCUACAGAGCAAAGGUUGCCCCUGAUUGAGCUCGUUUUAUGGAUGGGGAGACUGAGACGCAAAGAGACAAAGGGACGUGUCAGAGAACAUGCAGAGCUAGUCGUCGGCCAGGCACCAGAUCAUCUUAUGAAAGAGCUGGAUCCACUCCCGGCUCCAGGUCCAGGCUUUGAGUAGUAAGUCACGUAACACCUCACGUCUUUGUGCUGUCUCCCCAUCCACGCACGAGGGACCAGGCCCGCACUGUGAGGCUGCAGAGAGAAGAUGCUGUGUACAGAGGAGCCUGGCCCAGACCCGUGUGUGGAAGACAAUUCCUGUCCCAUUCUCCUGCUUGCCUUUUCUCUUCCUUUCCUUGCAGGAUUUUGGAGCACAGAAACGUCACUGCCGUCUAAAGAGGUCAUGGAAGUCUUCGCGGAAGAGAAAAGCCCCGCCUGAGCUUCAGCUUUGGGUGCUGGAGGAGGGCAGGGGCCAAGGGUUAUUAAUAGGCCUGGCUUGAUGGGCCCAGGGCGGGCGAAUGUGAUACAGACACCCAGCACCAUCGUUGGGGAGUACCUGACACCGGAAGGGGAGGGGGCUGCGGGCCGGGGGGAGCGCCACCUCCCAAAAUAGCCAGAGCAGAAGCCUAUAUAGGUGGCCGUCCCACCACCAGGCUCACUUCCCAACAGGACCUCCCACCAACCCAGCCUUCCGGUGCAGUUCCAGCCCUCCACCCCCACCCGAGGUGAGUGGCAGCUAUGGAGGCUGGAGGAGGAUGCAGGGAGGCAGUGGGGAGGAAGCCAGCUGGAAGGGACAGUGAGACAAGGGCUGGGGGAGGGGAUGCCCAGAGGUAGGCAGCUGUGGAGUCCAGGCCUGAGAGCACGGGAUUCUUGUGCUGUCCAUCCUGUCUCCCAAGGUGACCUGAGGCAAAUCCCUCCCGCUGGCUGGGCCUCAGCUUCCCACCUGUAGAACAAGAGGGAUGGAGCCUGACAUCUGUGGACUCCGGUGAUGCCAUCAGAGGGGGCCCACGAGCUGAGUGGGCAGAGGAGGCAGGAGGAAGGAGUGUGCAGGGCUGACGGUUGAGCUGACAAUAUUGUCUGACACUUGGUGGAUGGACUGGGGCCUGAAAGCGUCCAGUUGAUGGAAGGCAGCAGGGAGAGAUGGACGAAGGAGGGAGAAGGACGCGCCUCUGUGGAGGCUCCAGCCGUUGCCACAGGGGCCCCUGUCUGGGACUCUCCAGGAGCUCGUCUGUGGCUCAGACACGUGGGACUUGAUGGGGCUGCGCCCUGAGCCCUGGGGAGGAGCUCCGGGGAGCGGGUCCCUGAACUCCAAGUCAGUCGACCUGGGAGUGGGCCCCUCUCUGCCAGUGCCUCGCUGUGCAUCCUCAAGCCAUUCACUGACUCUCUCUGGCCUCAGUCUCCCCACCAGCGUAGAAUAAGGAUCCUUCACCCGGGGAAACAGAUCCUCAGCUAGGCGCCUUGACUGAGCCGAGCCCAGGGGCUGAAAUGAUAGCACAGAAGCCCAGCAUGUUGGAGUUAACAGCCCAGCUGGGGUCGGGGCAGCAGGGGCAGCCGAGGUGUCUGGGGAAGGUCUCGUGCCGGGAGGCCAGGUCUGCAGCCUUGGCGCCUUGGAAGCCGCUGGUGGGCUGGUGCCUGAAGAAGCUGACUCACAGGGAGGGGGACAGCCUGAGCCAGCGGUGUCCUAGGGUUUCCAGGAGGGCAGCCGUCCAGGGCCGAGCCGAGGCAGACAGUGUGGACAGCCAAGGCCGGGCAACCGGAGCUAACGGACAGCUGGGCAGCUCUCUCCAGCCCGCCAAAGGCCACCAGUGUCAGCCCCUGACCGCCUGCCCACAUCUUGAGUUGAGGUCUCAAGGUUCCACCACAAGGGACCACAACACCAUCAACACAACGGAGGGAGGCAGAAGCCCAGAAACGGGGAAGGUCACCACCCAAGGUCACACAAGGAUUUAGUGCAGCCCCAAAUCUAGAACCCCAGCCUCCUGACUCCCUGUCCAGUGCUCCACACACUCUAGAGGCAGCCGGUUGCAGCCUGAGUCCUUGGGAGACCGUGGGAAAGAAUGCAAUUGGUCUCUGGCUGCACAAAGAUUAGGAAGUGUCAUGUUUCCCAGAGACGCAAUUCAGGCCAUGAAAUCUGCUUCCGUUGUCUAAAAAGUGAAUGUGCCACCUUCUCCCCAGACAUGGGCCGUCUGCUCUCCAAGUGGGGUGAGGCUGCAUGGAGAUUCCAAGUAGUCUUUCCCACCUCCCCCUCCCUCAAAGCUUUGUGGGGCAGGAGGCGUCUGGACCAGGCGCAAUCCUCUGGGGCCCAGGAGACCAGGAAAGUAGUUAGGGGGGAUCUGAGAAGAGAUCUUCGAAAAGUCAGACUAGCAAUAGGAAAAAAAAAUUAAAAAAAUCAGGAUUCAGAACGUGCAUCCUGGCCAGAUGUGGGAUGGGGCACCUGCAGGGGGCCCCAGCAGCGCCGGCCUAUCCGUGCCACCCUCUCCCAGCGUCCCGUGGGUCGGGUUUCCAGACCUCAGAGCUCAGAUUUUGCAGCAUAAAUUUGCAUCCAGGACAGACAAGAGCCGAGGCUGAGGUAGGAGCAGAGAGAGAAUGGGAACAGGGCCGAGGGGCCCACGAGGGUGCAGGCCUGGCCCCGGCCGGUCAGUAUCCUCCCAGAAGCGGCGCGACAUCCUCCGAGUUGCAGGAUGUCGAUGACAGACUUGCUCCACGCUGAGGACAUCAAGAAGGCAGUGGGGGCCUUUACCGGCGCCGAAGGCUGGGUGCCCACGCUGCGAGGACUGGGGUCCCCGACCAAGGGCGAAGACCAGGGUGGAAAGCAGGGUCUCCGGGUCCCUGUGAGCGCUCGGGACUUCCCCUUUAAGGCCCUUGGAGGGGGCUGCAGCUGCAGAAUCCUUCGACCACAAAAAGUUCUUCCAAAUGGUGGGCCUGAAGAAAAAGAGCCCGGAUGAUGUGAAGAAGGUGUUCCACAUCCUGGAUAAAGACAAGAGCGGCUUCAUCGAGGAGGAAGAGCUGGGAUUCAUCCUGAAGGGCUUCCUCCCGGAUGCCCGAGACCUGACUACUAAGGAAACCAAGACGCUGCUGGCUGCUGGAGACAAGGAUGGGGACGGCAAGAUUGGGGCCGACGAAUUCUCCGUCCUGGUGGCUGAAAGCUAAGAGGCUCUGACGGCCCCGGGUCCUCCACCUCUCCGCCCCGGACCCCUGAUCUCAGCCCCUCUUGCCACCCUCCUGCGUUUCUGUUGAGUUUGUUUAUGUUAUUUUUUACUCCCCCCUGUGCCCUGCGGCCCUCGAGUGACACCGUUCUUCUGGAAAAUGCUGGAGAAACAAUAAAGGCUGUACCAAUCGGACUCUGCUGCUCGGGAGGACUCAGGCCUGGCGGGGUGUGGGUCCCGCCGUGACUUUGCAGACACACCUGUGCAGGGGUGGGGCCGGGAUUUAGACGGUUAGAAGAGAUGGGAUGGAAGAGAAAGGUACUAAGCCUCUCUUCUGUGUUUGGUACUGAACGUGGUACUCUACGUGGGCUGCCCAUUAAUCCUUGAAACCACCCCAUAAGGUAGGCAAUGAAACUCCCAUUUUACAGAUGCAGAAACUAAGUCUUGGAGAGAAAAGUGAUGUGUCUGAGCUGACAUGGCUAGGACUUGUGGAUGGACUGAUGGAUGAAUGGAUGCCCAUUAAGACUCUUUUUGCUACAAAUGACAGAAACCCAACUCAAAAUGACUUAGGCAAAAAAG
Equus caballus (horse) is the source of this 5829-nucleotide long non-coding RNA. The record is from Ensembl. Lineage: Eukaryota; Metazoa; Chordata; Mammalia; Perissodactyla; Equidae.